CUGUUGAUGGACAUAGAGGCUGCUUCUAAGACUGAAUCCUGCUCUUCUACAGGAGUAACAGAGAUCCAUGGAAUUAAAAGAAUUGUCAUGGCUUAGAUCUACAACGUCACCCAGAAGUUUCCUGUGUUCAGAGCUGCCCAGGACUCUCCUCUGGAGAAGCCGUCUGUGCUCAGAUCAGCCUCAUCUCCUUGGCCUCCCGUCUCAGAAUCCCGCACUCCUGCAGUUGGAAAUACUAAGUCAGUGCUGGAAGCCCACGCCCAUCCCCUGGCUCUGGGCUUGGGGCCGAACCCUUCUUCCUGCUCGCUGUGGGCUGAAAGCAGCUGUUCUCUCCCAACCUCUUCUGAACCUCAGUUGCCAAUAUUGCAGUCCCGGGGGGCCCCUCAGGAGGCGGGGGGCAUGGGGACGCCCUAGCGCACCCUCCCAGGACUGGGUGAGCGCCGUGUGGGCAGUGGGUUUGUAGUGGGGCUGCCCUUCCUGCUUGUCUGUCCCCCACACGCCUGCCUGUCAUCCACGUCACCAACUGGCCCCAGAUGUUGGUGCCCUCAGCCUCUAGAACUGUGCCCCAAAGAAACGCCUUUGCUUUAUAAAUAAACCAGUCUCAGGUAUUCUGUGACCGUAACAGGGAAUGGACUAAGACACUUCAGUACCAUCUUCACCAGCCCAAUCGAGAGCCAGGCCAGCCCAUCCUUGCGUGCACGUGACAGCAGCAGUUUCUCAGCACCCACUGGGUCCUCUCGGAGCUCCAGAGCCCUGAGUAACUAAGGAGAGCCAAACAUGGGGCUCUUUAUGAAGGUAGCCCAGAGCUGGCCAGCAUGGACUAAAUACCACAGAAGCAACCAAGGGGGUCCCUAAGACACUGUACGGCAUAGCUAAUACAAAAUAAACGAUGAAAAUGUAAAACGUCACUGAGCUCUUACACUGGUACCAGCUCUCUGGGGUG
Fukomys damarensis (Damara mole-rat) is the source of this 940-nucleotide RNA transcript. RefSeq lists it as uncharacterized. NCBI's taxonomy places the organism in Eukaryota, Metazoa, Chordata, Mammalia, Rodentia, Bathyergidae. The transcript is spliced from 3 exons. The record is from RefSeq and is a predicted model, not a curated record.